CCUACGGGAGGCAGCAGUGAGGAAUAUUGGUCAAUGGGCGAGAGCCUGAACCAGCCAAGUCGCGUGAGGGAGUACUGCCCUAUGGGUUGUAAACCUCUUUUGUCGGGGAGCAACAGCCGGACGUGUCCGGCUGUGAGAGUACCCGAAGAAAAAGCAUCGGCUAACUCCGUGCCAGCAGCCGCGGUAAUACGGAGGGUGCGAGCGUUAUCCGGAUUUAUUGGGGUUAAAGGGUGCGCAGGCGGAUUUUUAAGUCAGCGGUCAAAUCGUGGGGCUCAACCCCAUCCAGCCGUUGAAACUGGGGAUCUAGAGUGUGCGAGAGGUAUGCGGAAUGCGUGGUGUAGCGGUGAAAUGCAUAGAUAUCACGCAGAACCCCGAUUGCGAAGGCAGCAUACCGGUGCACAACUGACGCUCAGGCACGAAAGCGUGGGUAUCGAACAGGAUUAGAUACCCCGGUAGUC
RNAcentral lists this ribosomal RNA (458 nucleotides) under uncultured bacterium. RNAcentral's name for it is "partial 16S ribosomal RNA". It matches the Rfam family "Bacterial small subunit ribosomal RNA", at positions 338 to 795 of the family's 1533-position model. The record is from RNAcentral.